This 671-nucleotide ribosomal RNA is filed under the name Apiotrichum loubieri. RNAcentral's name for it is "LSU rRNA". It matches the Rfam family "Eukaryotic large subunit ribosomal RNA", at positions 1 to 658 of the family's 3401-position model. The record is from RNAcentral. Lineage: Eukaryota; Fungi; Basidiomycota; Tremellomycetes; Trichosporonales; Trichosporonaceae.
UGACUCUGGCCUCAAAUCAGGUAGGACUACCCGCUGAACUUAAGCAUAUCAAUAAGCGGAGGAAAAGAAACUAACAAGGAUUCCCUUAGUAACGGCGAGUGAACCGGGAAGAGCUCAAAUUUGAAAUCUGGCUGUCUUCGAUAGUCCGAGUUGUAAUCUAUAGAAGCGUUUUCCGUGCUGAACUGUGUCUAAGUCCCUUGGAACAGGGUAUCAAAGAGGGUGACAAUCCCGUACUUGACACAAUCAUCAGUGCUCUGUGAUACGCUCUCUACGAGUCGAGUUGUUUGGGAAUGCAGCUCAAAAUGGGUGGUAAAUUCCAUCUAAAGCUAAAUAUUGGCGAGAGACCGAUAGCGAACAAGUACCGUGAGGGAAAGAUGAAAAGCACUUUGGAAAGAGAGUUAAACAGUACGUGAAAUUGUUGAAAGGGAAACGAUUGAAGUCAGUCGUGUUCAUUGGAUUCAGCCGGUCUUCGGUGUACUUCCUUUGAACGGGUCAACAUCAGUUUUGCCCGGUGGAUAAAGGCAGUAGGAAUGUGGCCUCUCCGGAGGUGUUAUAGCCUAUUGUCACAUACACUGGGGGAGACUGAGGACUGCAGCUCGCCUUUUGGCCGGGGUUCGCCCACGUUCGAGCUUAGGAUGUUGACAUAAUGGCUUUAAACGACCCGUCUUGAA